CUUGGCAUAAGCUUUCGUAUGCAUGCACACUUCUUCAGAUACCUGAAGAAGUGUGCAUGCAUACGAAAGCUUAUGCCAAGAAC
Non-coding RNA from Podarcis lilfordi (Lilford's wall lizard), 83 nucleotides. Lineage: Eukaryota; Metazoa; Chordata; Lepidosauria; Squamata; Lacertidae. The record is from the annotation of a GenBank genome assembly.